GUGAGGAAUAUUGCGCAAUGGAGGCAACUCUGACGCAGCCAUGCCGCGUGCAGGAAGAAGGCGCUACGCGUUGUAAACUGCUUUUUUGGGGGAAGAAUAGUUUUCUUGCGAGGAAAUGUGACGGUACCCUAAGAAUAAGCCACGGCUAACUACGUGCCAGCAGCCGCGGUAAUACGUAGGUGGCAAGCGUUGUCCGGAUUUAUUGGGUUUAAAGGGUGCGUAGGUGGUUUGAUAAGUCAGUGGUGAAAGCCGGUUGCUCAACAAUCGAGUUGCCAUUGAUACUGUCGGACUUGAGAGAAGUGGAGGUUCAUGGAAUGGAUGGUGUAGCGGUGAAAUGCAUAGAUAUCAUCCAGAACGUCGAUUGCGAAGGCAGUGGGCUGUACUUUAUCUGACACUGAGGCACGAAAGUGUGGGGAUCAAACAGGAUUAGAAACCCCGGUAGUCC
This 445-nucleotide ribosomal RNA is filed under the name uncultured bacterium. Its description in RNAcentral is "partial 16S ribosomal RNA". It matches the Rfam family "Bacterial small subunit ribosomal RNA", at positions 354 to 796 of the family's 1533-position model. The record is from RNAcentral.